AAAUAAGAAACAAAAAAUUGUAUUUAGUUUCGACCUAAUCUUUGAUGAUAAACAUCCUUAUUUA
This 64-nucleotide transfer RNA is filed under the name Nosodendron fasciculare. RNAcentral's name for it is "tRNA-Arg". The record is from RNAcentral. Lineage: Eukaryota; Metazoa; Arthropoda; Insecta; Coleoptera; Nosodendridae.